GUAGCUGUCGAGAUGUGAGGAUCUAAUGGCUUCGGCGGGAGGGAAGGAUUGGAGAGAAGGAGAGAGAACAAUCAUGACCAUAGCGGCUGAGAAAAAUCCAGACAAUCUCAUAAUCCACAGCAUCUUCACGUGGUAAAUCCCUCUCCUCUUCUUUUUCUUUGAUUUGAAAUCGAUUCGAUCUGCUAUAAUCGAGGAUAAUCUUAGAAACGCUUCGGUCCCCUUUAGGUCCGCCAGAGUUUAACCAAAAAUAAUAAAAAUUUAAUUAAUCUAUAAAAAGGAAAAGUGUUUUCACGAAUCGAUCUUUUACUGGGAAUCAAAGUAUAAUUGCCGUGGGAACGAAGCGACUUUGGAGGAGAGAGAAAGAAGAAGAAUCCAUGUAACCGAGCCAGGCCGCAAAAUCAGGGCCCGGUGAUACCCCGUACACCGCCGUAUAGGCGUCCCAGUCUCUCUCCCCUGCUUACACUCUCUUAUCUCUCUCAGUUUUAAGUUUGUUCGCGUGGGGAGGUGAGAGUAGCGGAACAAAUAAUACGACACAAGUGGAUACUUGAGAGAGAGAGAGAGAGAGAGUGUGUGUGACCCCCUUUCUUUUCUCUAUUUUUUUCCUAGCUUUGCGUUUUCCACCAUAGAAAUCCACGGCCAAACAUGAAAUUAAAAUUUUUAUGGAUAAAUUCAGUAGCGGGAUAAUUUUAUUUAUAAAGUUUAAUUGGGAAAAUAAACAAAUAAAAAGAUUUUCCUCUUUUUAGUAUCCUUAUAUUCUACAGUUGGUAGCAAUAAUACAAUACUAAAAAUAUACACAGAUUAUGUUAAUAACACGAACACGAAUUGACAAGAGCUUUGUCGAAUAGAAAGAACCAGCUGUCCUUGUCUUUUAUCACAAUGACGAUUGCGUCCCCGCUCCAGGGCGCACAUUUUGUACACACGGUACUUGGAUACCUGAACACCUCAUUUUAACCAUUUGUUUGAGUAAAUUUCGGGUUAUUCUCUUUAUGAAAUAAUAAAUUUUAAAAGUUUUAACUUAAAAUUAAAAAAAUAAAGAUAAAUUGAUGUAAUUUUUUAUUUUUUAAUAAAAGUAGAGGUAAAUUAAUAUUUAUAAUCAUUUAAAUAAGUGUCAUGACACGGCUACAAAUUUUUAUACAAAUUUAUUUUGUACAAAUUGAUGUGGCAUCAAUUCAUUGAUUAAAUGAAAAUAUAAAAUAAUAAAAAUAAAUUAUAUGGGUCAAGAAAUAUUUAAUUUAAUUAAUUAUAUUAUGUCACAUUAAUUUGUAUAAAAUAAAUUUAUAUAAAAAUUUAUGACUAUGUCAUUAUUCUUUAAAUAAUAUUUUAAAUAUUAUCAUUUGAUGUGAAAUAAAAUUCUCUGAAAUUAACCCAUUUUGUUUACCGUUUAUUAACUGGAUCAAAGAUUCAACUGAGGCUGAGCCCACUCGUCUUCGGAUUGUUGUCUUGGCAACGGCUCACUUUUAUUUUACAAAAAGUGGGUAAUGGAUCACCAUCAUAUUAGCUUAGCAUCAGGGGUUUUGGGUUAGGCCAGUUCGUAAUUAUGCGUCACCUAAAAGAAGUGAUCAUGCGUAGACGGUCGACUUCUUGUGAACUGGUUUUGCUUUUAAGGCAAAAGAUGAUUUACUCAAAGCAAGUAUAUAACAUUCAAUGUCCUUUUGCUGCCCUUUCUUUUUCUUUUGGUACUUUUUGUUUCUCAAUUCUAAUUUUGAUUUGAUUAAGAUGAUUGAUGGUUAAUAUAAUGAAGGAUGAUUACUGCAUAAUACAUAUUAUAGCGUAAUAAAUUAUACCUUUUUU
This 1791-nucleotide long non-coding RNA is filed under the name Citrus maxima (pomelo). RNAcentral's name for it is "long non-coding RNA (CMAX_LNC002604)". Lineage: Eukaryota; Viridiplantae; Streptophyta; Magnoliopsida; Sapindales; Rutaceae. The record is from RNAcentral.